Schistosoma mansoni is the source of this 47-nucleotide non-coding RNA. Lineage: Eukaryota; Metazoa; Platyhelminthes; Trematoda; Strigeidida; Schistosomatidae. The record is from Rfam.
AUCCAUCUGAUGAGUCCCAAAUAGGACGAAAUUCGCGCGUCCUGGAU